RNAcentral lists this long non-coding RNA (475 nucleotides) under Rattus norvegicus (Norway rat). Its description in RNAcentral is "long non-coding RNA NONRATT024071". The record is from RNAcentral. Lineage: Eukaryota; Metazoa; Chordata; Mammalia; Rodentia; Muridae.
UUUCUGUCUACGACGGACAUGGAGGGGAAGAGGUCGCCUUGUACUGUGCCAAAUAUCUUCCUGAUAUUAUCAAAGAUCAGAAGGCCUACAAGGAAGGCAAGCUUCAGAAGGCUUUACAAGAUGCCUUCUUGGCUAUCGAUGCCAAGCUGACUACAGAUGAAGUCAUUAAGGAACUGGCGCAGAUUGCAGGGAGACCCACUGAAGAUGAGGAUGAUAAAGAAAAAGUAGCAGAUGAGGAUGAUGGUGAGUGUGGCAUCUGUGUUAGAAGGAAAUGAGCAGUUGAUUAUCAGUUCUGAGAAAUGAUGGCUUCCCAGGGACCUGGGGAAUUGUCCCAUAAAAGGAUAUACAAGAAUCAACUAAGCUGGCUUAUGGGGGCCCACAGAGGCUGAACCAACAAUCAGGGAGCCUGCAUAGGACUGACCUAGGCCCCCGCAUAUAUGUUACAGUUGAGCACCUUGGACUUGUGAGAUUUCUA